AUCAUAAGUAGAGGCGCUUAUAAAUUGGUAACUGAUAAAUGUUAAGGAGAAUACCCUCUGAUGUUACAGUGAAUUGUUUAUAGGCCGAAAGGAUGCAAAGGUAUUUUGUAUUACUUGGGGAUAAGACACAAGGUUUUAUCACUGCCAUGUUAUAUGGAGAGCUAUUUAUGGA
RNAcentral lists this non-coding RNA (172 nucleotides) under Clostridium sulfidigenes. RNAcentral's name for it is "Lysine sequence". It matches the Rfam family "Lysine riboswitch aptamer". Rfam says of the family: Riboswitches are metabolite binding domains within certain messenger RNAs that serve as precision sensors for their corresponding targets. Allosteric rearrangement of mRNA structure is mediated by ligand binding, and this results in modulation of gene expression. The record is from Rfam by way of RNAcentral. Lineage: Bacteria; Bacillati; Bacillota; Clostridia; Eubacteriales; Clostridiaceae.